This 788-nucleotide long non-coding RNA is filed under the name Anas platyrhynchos platyrhynchos (common mallard). RNAcentral describes it as "lncRNA (ENSAPLG00000018709.1)". The record is from RNAcentral. Lineage: Eukaryota; Metazoa; Chordata; Aves; Anseriformes; Anatidae.
UCUGGGACUUUCUGGGUGUUGCAACUUACAUAUUUGUUAGGGAAAUGUUUUAUUUGUGAAGCAUCUUUGAGUAGUCAAGUUAGUGUUCUAUUUUUGAGCUAAAUCUACGCUCAUGACAACAUGAAACUAUUCUUGCCAUAUCAUGUCAUUUUCUCCUCUUUAAACGUUCCUUGUGACUGCGGUGACUUGCCUAUUGUAGAAGAAAUAACUUAUAUUCUACUGGUUGGAGUUUUGAAGAAAUGGCAAGAAAAAUGUGUCUUGAUUAAAAGCUACUGUAGCUAUUAGAAGAGCUUUAACAGAGGAGGCUGGAAGUCUUGGCCUGAGUGACUACUGAAAAGAUACCUGAAAGGUAGGAGACCUUCAUCCAAAUCUCUGCAAUGAAUUCAGGCAUCAAUGAUUUCAGCUCAAUUCUUCCACAUCCCACUUGAUUUUUUUCUAAUCAGUUAGUUGGUCACCAUCAUGAGAGUCUGGUUGGAUGAUCUAAUUGCUUGAUUUUAGGAGAUCUCAUUUGGAAGUAUAGUCCAUUGUCCAGCUCAGAAUAUUCCUGGAAUGCUAAUGGCACAAGUCUAUCAUGCAGGUGUAUUUCAAGCCAAGGAGGGAUGUGCUGGUGUUUUCAGGUGCUUCCAGAAUGAAGUGAAUAUCUGUUUCAGGUAUUCUGGAAUGCACUAUUGGCCUUAAAGGAUUAAAAUCCUGUUUUAAGUAUUGAUGAGUGGGGGUAUAUGUAUGGGGUACAUUUAAUAUUUUCAUAUUAAAAUAAAUAAACUAAAAAAUACUGUGGAAGAAUAGAG